CCUGGCGGCCGUAGCGCGGUGGUCCCACCUGACCCCAUGCCGAACUCAGAAGUGAAACGCAGUAGCGCCGAUGGUAGUGUGGGGUCUCCCCAUGCGAGAGUAGGGAACUGCCAGGC
This 116-nucleotide ribosomal RNA is filed under the name Escherichia coli. Lineage: Bacteria; Pseudomonadati; Pseudomonadota; Gammaproteobacteria; Enterobacterales; Enterobacteriaceae. The record is from RNAcentral. RNAcentral also lists the same sequence under 2 other names.